UGACCUCGGAUCAGACGUGAUUACCCGCUGAACUUAAGCAUAUCACUAAGCGGAGGAAAAGAAACUAACAAGGAUUCCCUUAGUAACGGCGAGUGAACAGGGAAGAGCCCAGCACCGAAGCCUGUGGCUGUUUGGUCACUAGGCAAUGUGGUGUUCAGGUCGUUCCGCAGAGACACUGCUCCACUCUAAGUCCAGCAAUGAGUACGGCUUUAUGGACAUGGCCCACAGAGGGUGAAAGGCCCGUGGGGGUGGAACCACGAUUGACAGUGUCUCUCUGGUUAGACCUUGGAGUCGGGUUGUUUGUGAAUGCAGCCCAAAGUGGGUGGUAAACUCCAUCCAAGGCUAAAUACAAGCACGAGUCCGAUAGCGAACAAGUACCGUGAGGGAAAGUUGAAAAGUACUUUGAAGAGAGAGUAAACAGUGCGUGAAACCGCUCAGAGGUAAACGGGUGGAGUUGAACUGCAAGCUCUGUGAAUUCAGCUGAUGGGUGUGGCUUGAGCUUGGUCAAAUUGGUCGGACAUUGGGGUCUGCGUAGUAGCAGGUCUCCGCCUUCGGGUGGAGAUGCGCGAUGCGCCUUGUUGUGCUGUGCGCCUCUUUGUUUUCCGGGCCUGCUCGUCAGUGCACUUUCUCAGAGUGGUCACCACGACCGGCAUUGCGGUCUGGCCGUUUCGGUUAAACCGGUCUUGCAUUGUCCUUGUGGCUUUGUUCGGUCGGGAUGGCAGGUAGCUCAUCGAUUGCUCUGUGGUUCGCUGCAGGUGUCUUUGAGUGUAAUCAGCUGACCGUGACGAUCCUGUGCUGUAUGUCGGAGACGGCGGCUUGUGGUGUAUGCGUGCGUGCUGGUCUCGUUGGCGGAUCCGGGUCUGAUUUCCAUGUUGCCUGUGCAAAGCAGGCCUGGGGGUGGCUCGGGUUCGUCCGGUGGACAGUUGCGUGCGUUUCACUUAUCAGGGCCAAUAGUCUGUGGUGUAGUGGUAGACUAUCCACCCGACCCGUCUUGAAACACGGACCAAGGAGAGUAACAUGUGCGCAAGUCAUUGGGCGAAACGAAACCCAAAGGCGCAGUGAAAGUAAAGGCUUGGCUUGUUCAGGCUGAGGUGAGAUCCUGACGUUUCUCAUGCUGGGUACCACCAAGUAUCGAGCGUCAGGCGCAUCACCGGCCCGUCCCAUGACGUAGACACAUAGUCUCCGGACCAGUGCACCGUCGGGGCGGAGCAUGAGCGUACAUGUUGAGACCCGAAAGAUGGUGAACUAUGCUUGCGCAGGUUGAAGCCAGAGGAAACUCUGGUGGAGGACCGCAGCGAUUCUGACGUGCAAAUCGAUCGUCAAACGUGAGUAUAGGGGCGAAAGACUAAUCGAACCAUCUAGUAGCUGGUUCCCUCCGAAGUUUCCCUCAGGA
Molecule: ribosomal RNA, 1393 nt
Filed under: Isorchis currani
Lineage: Eukaryota; Metazoa; Platyhelminthes; Trematoda; Plagiorchiida; Atractotrematidae
Description: eukaryotic LSU rRNA
Rfam family: Eukaryotic large subunit ribosomal RNA
Source: RNAcentral